ACGACCACAAAAUCAGGACAAGAUCUCUAUCAUCAAAGAAAGAAAUCUGGUGAAAAUGAUAUAUCUUGUUCUAGACAGUACUACAGUCUGUACUUAAUCAACAACGUUGAUUUGUUGUAAGUAAAAAAUCUUCCUGUUCUUAUGUCAAUUCUGUCAGAUUUACGUUCUUAAUUGUUUUCAUAACAGCUGCACCAGCUGGUUGCAGGGCAGCAAAGGGUAUGUGUUUCAUUGAAAGUCAAACGAUUCAGCAGCCACCAAGGGCCACCAAGGGCCACCUUUCCCCUCGCCAUUACUGCAACAAAUGUUGACGGACGGUGGACCAACAAAUAUGCAUAUCACAAUCCAUGUUCUCUGCAUUUACUUGUGGGGUAAAAUACAAUAUAGGAAUUCAUUGCUGUCUUCCAACUACCAAACUUCUUGCACUAUUGUUGAUUCAGUCCACUUGACCACAUGAGUUCUCUACAAAAAGUGUUUGUGCCGAUGCGGAAAUUGGAGCAGUAAUCAGACGUCAAUUUCAGAAGUAACAAAGAUCCGAAUGAAUCAGAAGUAACGAAGAUUCGAACGAGAUUCAUGUGUUGAUACAGCAGGUGUGGGAG
Molecule: long non-coding RNA, 596 nt
Filed under: Linum usitatissimum (flax)
Lineage: Eukaryota; Viridiplantae; Streptophyta; Magnoliopsida; Malpighiales; Linaceae
Description: long non-coding RNA (LUSI_LNC007892)
Source: RNAcentral